Molecule: small RNA, 512 nt
Filed under: Pan troglodytes (chimpanzee)
Lineage: Eukaryota; Metazoa; Chordata; Mammalia; Primates; Hominidae
Description: retained intron
Source: RNAcentral
ACCGCCCCGGUGCUGGCCCUCGCCAUGGAGCAGAGGCGGGGACAGCUGGCCACCGUGUCCCAGGACCGCACCGUCCGCAUCUGGGACCUGGCCACCCUGCAGCAGCUAUACGACUUCACAUCAUCAGAGGAAGCCCCGUGCGCUGUCACCUUCCACCCCACAAGGCCAACCUUUUUCUGUGGCUUUAGCAGUGGGGCUGUGCGCUCCUUCAGCCUGGAGGCCGCUGAGGUCCUGGUGGAACACACGUGCCACCGAGGAGCUGUCACCAGCCUGACCGCCACCCCUGACGGCCGCCUGCUCUUCAGCUCCUGCUCCCAGGGCUCCCUGGCCCAGUACAGCUGUGCGGACCCCCAGUGGCAUGUCCUCCGAGUGGCAGGUUGGGCCCCCUGCAGCCACUCUGGGGGACUCCUCAGGGCAGGGGAGGCCUGGGUCUGGUGCAGGCCAACACCUGGACACACAUGCCGGUUUCCUGGUCCACCGACUGGGUCCUGUUGGGGGGCGUGGCCGCCUCA